This 516-nucleotide ribosomal RNA is filed under the name uncultured bacterium. Its description in RNAcentral is "bacterial SSU rRNA". It matches the Rfam family "Bacterial small subunit ribosomal RNA", at positions 28 to 527 of the family's 1533-position model. The record is from RNAcentral.
GAUGAACGCUAGCGAUAGGCCUAACACAUGCAAGUCGAGGGGCAUCACAUGAAGUAGCAAUACGGAUGGUGGCGACCGGCGCACGGGUGAGUAACACGUAUGCAACCUGCCUUCAACAAGGGGAUAACCCGUUGAAAGACGGACUAAUACCCUAUAACACAGGGGUCCCGCAUGGGAAUAUUUGUUAAAGGACAACCGGUUGAAGAUGGGCAUGCGUUCCAUUAGCUAGUUGGCGGGGUAACGGCCCACCAAGGCAACGAUGCGUAGCUGAGCUGAGAGGCUAAACAGCCACACUGGGACUGAGACACGGCCCAGACUCCUACGGGAGGCAGCAGUAGGGAAUUUUCGGCAAUGGGGGAAACCCUGACCGAGCAAUGCCGCGUGAACGAUGAAGGUCUUCGGGUUGUAAAGCUCUUUCGGACGGAAAGAAAUCGCCGCCUCUAACACAGGCGGUGGAUGACGGUACCGUAAGAAGAAGCACCGGCUAACUACGUGCCAGCAGCCGCGGUAAUUACG